RNA transcript from Frieseomelitta varia, 1104 nucleotides. It is a transcript of the gene named myosin regulatory light chain sqh, with no coding region annotated. The transcript is spliced from 5 exons. The record is from RefSeq and is a predicted model, not a curated record. NCBI's taxonomy places the organism in Eukaryota, Metazoa, Arthropoda, Insecta, Hymenoptera, Apidae.
CUACGUGCUCGGGUGUGGUGAAUAACCAUAGAGUGACGCGUAACGUGAGUCACAGUUGUGCACGAGUGUCUGUGCCGUACGUUAUUUGGCAUUUUCUUCUCAGUUCGAAGCUGCUAUUAAUCAGGAAUACAAACAUGUCUUCGCGCAAAACAGCCGGACGCCGUGCGACAACUAAAAAGCGUGCACAACGCGCAACAUCAAACGUUUUCGCGAUGUUUGAUCAAGCUCAGAUCGCUGAGUUUAAAGAAGCUUUCAACAUGAUCGACCAAAAUCACGACGGUUUCAUUGAUAAGGAAGAUCUUCACGACAUGCUUGCCUCACUGGGUAAAAACCCGACUGACGAAUAUUUGGAGGCAAUGAUGAACGAGGCUCCAGGACCCAUCAAUUUCACGAUGUUUUUAACUUUAUUUGGCGAAAGGCUUCAAGGCACCGAUCCGGAGGAUGUGAUUAAAAACGCCUUCGGCUGCUUCGACGAAGAAAAUACUGGACACAUAAACGAGGAACGUCUGCGCGAAUUACUUACGACAAUGGGAGACAGAUUUACGGAUGACGAUGUGGACGAAAUGUAUCGGGAAGCACCCAUCAAAGGAUCGAUGUUCGACUACAUAGAGUUCACGCGAAUUUUAAAGCACGGUGCUAAAGACAAGGACGAACAAUGAAUUUAUGACCGCCCGUUUCUUCUGUUUGCGUAAUUGAGGCGUGCUACACGCCUCAAUAUGGUUGCAACUGUCCUAAAUGUACAAGCCAACAGAGCCAUGUAGGCAUUCGCAAUAUUUAUUUGAAACUAAAAAAUGUUUACGUACAAACUACGGAUAGAGGAAAGUUUAAUUCACAUUGUAAUUACAAAUUACAAUCGACAAAAAGAAAAAUCUCAAUAUGAUGUAAUAUAUAUAUAUUGUAUAUUAUAUUAACAUAUAGUUGUUAAAGAGUUGGCAUUUAUAUUUUAAUAUAAUAAUGAAUUAUACACCAAAUACAUUCUACUUGAUUGUCACAUCCAGCGUGAAUGAAAAUCAACGUUCGAUAUUUAAGAUAUUGUAACCGUGAUCCACUGCUGUCUGUUGCCACUAGUAAAUGAGAUAGGAAAAAAUAAACAUUGACAAACUA